GGAGAUGGGUAUGAGACCCGUUUGAGUUGCUAUAGUGGUAACCCAACCUAUGUGAUUGGAGAUCCCGUGAAUUAGGAUCUGGGGAAAAUAAGCUUUUGGUUAAUUGAGGAGAGUAAUUCUUUAACCUUCUUUAAGUGAAGAUGCAAUACUCUCAAAUGUUGUAAGGCAUGUGUGCUGUAAGGCAGGUUGGCUAUAUGCAUUAAUGUGAUUCUAUUGACUUUGAUAAGCGAAAAUGUUGUUCUACAGAGCAUUCUUGAAAGAAC
This 263-nucleotide long non-coding RNA is filed under the name Setaria viridis. RNAcentral describes it as "long non-coding RNA (SVIR_LNC005185)". The record is from RNAcentral. Lineage: Eukaryota; Viridiplantae; Streptophyta; Magnoliopsida; Poales; Poaceae.